This 448-nucleotide ribosomal RNA is filed under the name uncultured bacterium. RNAcentral describes it as "bacterial SSU rRNA". It matches the Rfam family "Bacterial small subunit ribosomal RNA", at positions 330 to 792 of the family's 1533-position model. The record is from RNAcentral.
UCCAGACUCCUACGGGAGGCAGCAGUGGGGAAUAUUGGGCAAUGGGCGCAAGCCUGACCCAGCAACGCCGCGUGAAGGAAGAAGGCUUUCGGGUUGUAAACUUCUUUUAAGAGGGACGAAACAAAUGACGGUACCUCUUGAAUAAGCUCCAGCUAACUACGUGCCAGCAGCCGCGGUAAUACGUAGGGAGCGAGCGUUAUCCGGAUUUACUGGGUGUAAAGGGCGUGUAGGCGGGAAUGCAAGUCAGAUGUGAAAACGAUGGGCUCAACCCAUAGCCUGCAUUUGAAACUGUAUUUCUUGAGUGCUGGAGAGGCAAUCGGAAUUCCGUGUGUAGCGGUGAAAUGCGUAGAUAUACGGAGGAACACCAGUGGCGAAGGCGGAUUGCUGGACAGUAACUGACGCUGAGGCGCGAAAGCGUGGGGAGCAAACAGGAUUAGAUACCCUAGUA